This 496-nucleotide ribosomal RNA is filed under the name uncultured bacterium. Its description in RNAcentral is "partial 16S ribosomal RNA". It matches the Rfam family "Bacterial small subunit ribosomal RNA", at positions 28 to 506 of the family's 1533-position model. The record is from RNAcentral.
GAUGAACGCUGGCGGCGUGCCUAAUACAUGCAAGUCGAGCGAACAGACGAGGAGCUUGCUCCUCUGACGUUAGCGGCGGACGGGUGAGUAACACGUGGAUAACCUACCUAUAAGACUGGGAUAACUUCGGGAAACCGGAGCUAAUACCGGAUAAUAUAUUGAACCGCAUGGUUCAAUAGUGAAAGACGGUUUUGCUGUCACUUAUAGAUGGAUCCGCGCCGCAUUAGCUAGUUGGUAAGGUAACGGCUUACCAAGGCGACGAUGCGUAGCCGACCUGAGAGGGUGAUCGGCCACACUGGAACUGAGACACGGUCCAGACUCCUACGGGAGGCAGCAGUAGGGAAUCUUCCGCAAUGGGCGAAAGCCUGACGGAGCAACGCCGCGUGAGUGAUGAAGGUCUUCGGAUCGUAAAACUCUGUUAUUAGGGAAGAACAAAUGUGUAAGUAACUAUGCACGUCCUGACGGUACCUAAUCAGAAAGCCACGGCUAACUACGU